This 27-nucleotide non-coding RNA is filed under the name Homo sapiens (human). Lineage: Eukaryota; Metazoa; Chordata; Mammalia; Primates; Hominidae. The record is from RNAcentral.
UAGUUGAUAAUAGCAGGGAAUAAGUUG